RNAcentral lists this small RNA (722 nucleotides) under Pongo abelii (Sumatran orangutan). RNAcentral's name for it is "processed transcript". Lineage: Eukaryota; Metazoa; Chordata; Mammalia; Primates; Hominidae. The record is from RNAcentral.
AUAAUCUAAUUAAGGUAGCAUAAUAUAGAGCCAGAAGUCAGGUGGUAUUUACAAGGUACAGAAGAGAUCUUGGACUCAAAAGGCAUGGAGUCCAGUCCUAUUUAGCUGGAAAAUCUGUGGCUUAUAUCAUCUCCAGGCACGGUAAAAUGAGGACAGCACCAUGAAGAUGAAAUGAAAGCACAAAAGAGAAGGUAUUUGGCAAACCGUGACAGUCGUUGUUAGAAAGGAAAUGUCAAAUGAGUGCACAAAGAGGGACCCGAGGGGACCCUCCUAAAAAACUGCAAGAUCCUUUCCUUUCACUGUUGCUAUGUUCUGACAAGGUUUGUUGUCUUCCUCUUAAAUGGGAGGUGAGUGUGGAGUGGAGAAAGCGAGUUGUUUGGGCCUCAGGCCUCAACCUCCACUUGAAGCCUACACAAGCUCACCUUUGCUACCCUGCAGAGAAGGCAAAAGGAGUUAAUGAUGAAAUCUCAGAAAAGCACUUGGGGGCUUUUAGAAAUUCUUACCAGCACUCAAAAAGAGUGAAUGAAAUGUGCAGCUCAGAGUGUCAUUUCUGAAGGGAGGAGUCUUUCUCUUGGAGAAGAGUCCUCAAUGAGCCUGGCCGAGGCCCGGGAUCUGUGUGAAGUGGACUAAGGAUUAAGUAGGAUGUCAACUGAGACAGAACUUCAAGUAGCUGUGAAAACCAGCGCCAAGAAAGACUCCAGAAAGAAAGGUCAGGAUCGCAG